UUUUAGCCCCGAUAGAAGUGAAAAUCCUUUUGUGGCGGGGUUCGCCACAAAAGAUUGGAACGGAUAGCGGGAUUAGCU
RNAcentral lists this small RNA (78 nucleotides) under Flavobacterium araucananum. RNAcentral's name for it is "Flavo-1 RNA". It matches the Rfam family "Flavo-1 RNA". The record is from RNAcentral. Lineage: Bacteria; Pseudomonadati; Bacteroidota; Flavobacteriia; Flavobacteriales; Flavobacteriaceae.